This 301-nucleotide ribosomal RNA is filed under the name uncultured bacterium. Its description in RNAcentral is "partial 16S ribosomal RNA". It matches the Rfam family "Bacterial small subunit ribosomal RNA", at positions 509 to 807 of the family's 1533-position model. The record is from RNAcentral.
CAGUCGCCGCGGUAAUACGAAGGGGGCUAGCGUUGUUCGGAAUUACUGGGCGUAAAGGGCGCGUAGGCGGCCAUUCAAGUUAGAUGUGAAAGCCCUGGGCUCAACCUAGGAAUUGCAUUUGAUACUGUUUGGCUUGAGUUCGGGAGAGGUGAGUGGAAUUCCCAGUGUAGAGGUGAAAUUCGUAGAUAUUGGGAAGAACACCAGUGGCGAAGGCGGCUCACUGGACCGACGCUGACGCUGAGGCGCGAAAGCGUGGGGAGCAAACAGGAUUAGAUACCCCCGUAGUCCCUGUCUCUUAUAC